AACGUAGGAGACGAGCGUUAUCCGGAUUUACUGGGUGUAAAGCGCGUGCAGGCGGAACGGCAAGUUGGAUGUGAAAGCUCCUGGCUUAACUGGGAGAGGUCGUACAAGACUGCCGAUCUAGAGGACAGCAGAGGGGAGUGGAAUUCCGAGUGUAGCGGUCAAAUGCAUAGAUAUUCGGAAGAACACCAGUGGCGAAAGCGGCUCUCUGGGCUGUAACUGACGCUCAGACGCGAAAGCUAGGGUAGCAAACGGG
Molecule: ribosomal RNA, 253 nt
Filed under: uncultured bacterium
Lineage: Bacteria
Description: partial 16S ribosomal RNA
Rfam family: Bacterial small subunit ribosomal RNA
Source: RNAcentral